RNAcentral lists this ribosomal RNA (425 nucleotides) under uncultured bacterium. RNAcentral describes it as "partial 16S ribosomal RNA". It matches the Rfam family "Bacterial small subunit ribosomal RNA", at positions 354 to 796 of the family's 1533-position model. The record is from RNAcentral.
GUGGGGAAUAUUGGACAAUGGGCGAAAGCCUGAUCCAGCAAUGCCGCGUGAGUGAAGAAGGCCUUAGGGUUGUAAAGCUCUUUUGUCCGGGAAGAUAAUGACUGUACCGGAAGAAUAAGCCCCGGCUAACUUCGUGCCAGCAGCCGCGGUAAUACGAAGGGGGCUAGCGUUGUUCGGAAUCACUGGGCGUAAAGCGCACGUAGGCGGACCAUUAAGUCAGGGGUGAAAGCCUGGAGCUCAACUCCAGAACUGCCUUUGAUACUGAUGGUCUCGAGUAUGGAAGAGGUUGGUGGAACUGCGAGUGUAGAGGUGAAAUUCGUAGAUAUUUGCAAGAACACCGGUGGCGAAGGCGGCCAACUGGUCCAUUACUGACGCUGAGGUGCGAAAGCGUGGGGAGCAAACAGGAUUAGAUACCCGAGUAGUCC